RNAcentral lists this ribosomal RNA (482 nucleotides) under uncultured bacterium. RNAcentral describes it as "partial 16S ribosomal RNA". It matches the Rfam family "Bacterial small subunit ribosomal RNA", at positions 30 to 507 of the family's 1533-position model. The record is from RNAcentral.
AUUGAACGCUGGCGGCACGCCUUACACAUGCAAGUCGAACGGUAACGGGCCUUCGGGUGCCGACGAGUGGCGAACGGGUGAGUAAUACAUCGGAACGUGCCCGAUCGUGGGGGAUAACGAGGCGAAAGCUUUGCUAAUACCGCAUACGAUCUACGGAUGAAAGCAGGGGACCGCAAGGCCUUGCGCGGACGGAGCGGCCGAUGUCAGAUUAGGUAGUUGGUGGGAUAAAAGCUUACCAAGCCGACGAUCUGUAGCUGGUCUGAGAGGAUGAUCAGCCACACUGGGACUGAGACACGGCCCAGACUCCUACGGGAGGCAGCAGUGGGGAAUUUUGGACAAUGGGCGCAAGCCUGAUCCAGCCAUGCCGCGUGCAGGAUGAAGGCCUUCGGGUUGUAAACUGCUUUUGUACGGAACGAAAAGCCUUCUUUUAAUACAGGAGGGUCAUGACGGUACCGUAAGAAUAAGCACCGGCUAGCUACGUG